RNAcentral lists this ribosomal RNA (483 nucleotides) under uncultured bacterium. RNAcentral describes it as "SSU rRNA". It matches the Rfam family "Bacterial small subunit ribosomal RNA", at positions 26 to 518 of the family's 1533-position model. The record is from RNAcentral.
AGGAUUAACGCUGGCGGCGUGCAUGAAACAUGCAAGUCGAGCGCGGUGUGAUGCGGGGUAACCCAAUUCACAUCUAGCGGCGAACGGGUGAGUAACACGUGAGCAACCUACCUUUGAGUUGGGGAUAGCCCUGGGAAACCAGGAUUAAUACCCGAUGUGGUCACAACAGGACAUCCUGAUGUGAGUAAAGGCGCAAGCCGCUCAAUGACGGGCUCGCGGCCUAUUAGCUUGUUGGUGGGGUAACGGCCUACCAAGGCGACGACGCGUAGCCGGACUGAGAGGUUGGCCGGCCACAUUGGGACUGAGACACUGCCCAGACUCCUACGGGGGGCUGCAGUAACGAAUCUUCCGCAAUGCACGAAAGUGUGACGGAGCGACGCCGCGUGUGGGACGAAGCCCCUCGGGGUGUAAACCACUGUCAGGGGAUAGAAAGUUCUGAUCAUCCCCAGAGGAAGGCACGGCUAACUCUGUGCCAGCAGCCGC